This 70-nucleotide transfer RNA is filed under the name Heteroconger hassi (spotted garden-eel). Its description in RNAcentral is "tRNA-Ile". Lineage: Eukaryota; Metazoa; Chordata; Actinopteri; Anguilliformes; Congridae. The record is from RNAcentral.
GGAAACAUGCCUGAACAAAAGGGCCACUUUGAUAGAGUGGAUCAUGAGAGUUAGAGCCUCCCUGUUUCCU